AUGGAGAUGGGUUCGUGGCGAGUCAUGCUUAAAGCCCAACAAAGCGCCUGUCUCUGCACCGGCCGCCUCGCCCCCACCCCGUCCGUAGCCCGCUGUGCCCCUGGGCUCCAGCGCUGCUUGGCGGUAGAGCUGCCUGUUGACCGCCCUGCCCCAUCACAGGCCACGGCCCUGCAGGCCCCCGGGGUGCUGAGACCUCAGCCUGGGCGGCAAAGGGGCCCAGCCUUGGCUUGCCUGCACGCACCCUCUGCCACACUCGAGGGAAAACCACCCUGGCUGCUUUACCAGCAAUGCCUGUGGCUGCUGCAUCGGGCACCCCAAAACUCUGGCCUGGUCUCGGUCUCUUCCCGCGCAGCCUGGGGGUGCCGACGGCAAAGAAUCGGGAACAUGCAGGACCUGGGCAGGCAGGUUGGCCAUGCCAUGAGUCGUGACCCACCACCAGCGGAUCAGCCCAGACCCUCCCUCACUCCCCUACGCCCUGGAGCUGGCCGCUGGCUCCUCUCCUGCAGCUCCCCUCUCCCCUCUUCCAUCCCGCUCCUGCCGUGUUCCCCCUGCCCACCUGGCCCGGAGGCUGCUAGGACACCGACCCUCUCUGCUUUCAGCUUUGGGUCCCGAUGCCAUGUGCCUGCACAAACUGCCAUCCUCGAUGCUCUGAGCUGCACUGCCAGCGCGUCGGAGAUACAGCAGGCAGGAGCCCGGGCAGCUUCAAGCAGCUGGCAUGGCAGGGCAUCCUGGAUGGUGCAGGUGGCCGGUCUGGUUGGGUGGCUCCAGGGAGGAGGCCCUCGCCUUCCCCUCUCCAACGCCGGGCCUCUGCCCUGCUGCGUGGCGCUCUGGCUGUGCUCCUCCCGGGACGGCACGGGCGAAGCAGCGGGUUUUGCAGAGGCAGGGCUUCUCUGCUGGCUACGUGGGCUUUGCUGCUUUCUUGGGACCCGGGGGCUUCAACGCUGGCUUCCCUCAGUCACCCAGGCAUGCCCAGCAGGGAGACGUGCAUCUCUUGCUGCCCCCCGCUGCUAG
Molecule: long non-coding RNA, 1011 nt
Filed under: Crocodylus porosus (Australian saltwater crocodile)
Lineage: Eukaryota; Metazoa; Chordata; Crocodylia; Crocodylidae
Description: lncRNA (ENSCPRG00005007728.1)
Source: RNAcentral